Molecule: small nucleolar RNA, 93 nt
Organism: Bombina bombina (fire-bellied toad)
Lineage: Eukaryota; Metazoa; Chordata; Amphibia; Anura; Bombinatoridae
Product: small nucleolar SNORD12/SNORD106
Exons: 1
Source: RefSeq, a predicted model, not a curated record
GCUGAUGUCUAUGAUGACUAAACUUUUUUUCCCCAUCAGAUCGACACUGUUGAUUGUAAAGCUGAAUAAGCCAGUUGUGUCUGAUGCAUCAGC